UUUUCGUAAAUGCAUUUCAGAGAAAAGUGAAUUCUGAGAUUUGAAUAAUGCAUCUGACGUGUGUGUGAUGACGUCACGACGCACGUAUUUUGAUUUUUACCAGUCGUUCAAGACGGACGGAUUCAGUCCCAAGAAGCUAAAGUUUUUCAAAGACAUUUGUAGGGAGGACUUUGCAGCUAAUGAUUUCCUUAGGCUGAACCAAAACCUGCCAGACUAAAGUUGAUUUGGGAGAGAAAGACGUUGUAAACUCAAUCAUCUUGACAUUCUUCAAUGAGUAAUUGUUCAAUUUUUAGGCAAAUACUGUACACUUUGAAUGCUGUGAAUAAAACUAUAUUUUAAAUAUAUUUAAAAUGAA
This is a long non-coding RNA of Paramisgurnus dabryanus, 355 nucleotides long. RefSeq lists it as uncharacterized. Lineage: Eukaryota; Metazoa; Chordata; Actinopteri; Cypriniformes; Cobitidae. The record is from RefSeq and is a predicted model, not a curated record.